GAUGAACGCUGGCGGCGUGCCUAACACAUGCAAGUCGAGCGAUUCUCUUCGGAGAAGAGCGGCGGACGGGUGAGUAACGCGUGGGUAACCUGCCCUGUACACACGGAUAACAUACCGAAAGGUAUGCUAAUACGAGAUAAUAUAUGAAAGUUGCAUGACUUUUAUAUCAAAGCUUUUGCGGUACAGGAUGGACCCGCGUCUGAUUAGCUAGUUGGUAAGGUAACGGCUUACCAAGGCGACGAUCAGUAGCCGACCUGAGAGGGUGAUCGGCCACACUGGAACUGAGACACGGUCCAGACUCCUACGGGAGGCAGCAGUGGGGAAUAUUGCACAAUGGGCGAAAGCCUGAUGCAGCAACGCCGCGUGAGCGAUGAAGGCCUUCGGGUCGUAAAGCUCCGUCCUCAAGGAAGAUAAUGACGGUACUUGAGGAGGAAGCCCCGGCUAACUACGUGCCAGCAGCCGCCGUAA
This 468-nucleotide ribosomal RNA is filed under the name uncultured bacterium. RNAcentral's name for it is "partial 16S ribosomal RNA". It matches the Rfam family "Bacterial small subunit ribosomal RNA", at positions 28 to 523 of the family's 1533-position model. The record is from RNAcentral.